GUGGGGAAUAUUGCACAAUGGGCGCAAGCCUGAUGCAGCAACGCCGCGUGAGGGACGACGGCCUUCGGGUUGUAAACCUCUUUUAGCAGGGAAGAAGCGAAAGUGACGGUACCUGCAGAAAAAGCACCGGCUAACUACGUGCCAGCAGCCGCGGUAAUACGUAGGGUGCAAGCGUUGUCCGGAAUUAUUGGGCGUAAAGAGCUCGUAGGCGGUUUGUCGCGUCUGCUGUGAAAACCCGAGGCUCAACCUCGGGCCUGCAGUGGGUACGGGCAGACUAGAGUGCGGUAGGGGAGAUUGGAAUUCCUGGUGUAGCGGUGGAAUGCGCAGAUAUCAGGAGGAACACCGAUGGCGAAGGCAGAUCUCUGGGCCGUAACUGACGCUGAGGAGCGAAAGCGUGGGGAGCGAACAGGAUUAGAUACCCGUGUAGUCC
This 430-nucleotide ribosomal RNA is filed under the name uncultured bacterium. Its description in RNAcentral is "partial 16S ribosomal RNA". It matches the Rfam family "Bacterial small subunit ribosomal RNA", at positions 354 to 796 of the family's 1533-position model. The record is from RNAcentral.